CAAUUAUUUUAUUAGUAUAGAGAUUUUCACUGCUUCGCAUCUCUAAUUGGUUUAAACACAGAGAAUCUCCACUUUUAUUUCUGGAGUAGAGACUUGACUUUUCGACUAGUUCGCAAUCGACUCUAUUCUUAGCCUUGAAUUAUCUGCCUCUCUAACCACCUAUUUAUCUAAAGACCUGCUCGAUAUUCAAUCGAUUGCUAAUAGAAGAAAGAACGGUAGCGAUCUAUCUAUUUACGUCUGUGCGCGAUAUCUGAUCAAUCUAUAUGAAUAGAUAUUGCUCACUUGCUACCGAGUCUUUAAUUUAGCAAGCUUCUUACUGUAUAUAAGAUACGGUCGGGCUUAUAUAGUGCUUCUGAGCUUGAUCACUAGAUCAGAAGGGGUAGUGCCACUAUCACAGAUUAAGGUAUAUUGUUGAAAGAUAGAAUGACUAGCAAUAGCUACAGUGAUAAUCUAAAGUAUUUAAAAUGAGUAUUAAAUAAAGCUUAUAGAGUAAG
RNAcentral lists this small RNA (494 nucleotides) under Histoplasma capsulatum. RNAcentral's name for it is "hypothetical RNA". RNAcentral also lists the same sequence under 1 other name. Lineage: Eukaryota; Fungi; Ascomycota; Eurotiomycetes; Onygenales; Ajellomycetaceae. The record is from RNAcentral.